AUUGAACGCUGGCGGCAUGCCUUACACAUGCAAGUCGAACGGCAGCGGACCUUCGGGUGCCGGCGAGUGGCGAACGGGUGAGUAAUAUAUCGGAACGUACCUUUCAGUGGGGGAUAACGUAGCGAAAGUUACGCUAAUACCGCAUAUUCUGUGAGCAGGAAAGCAGGGGAUCGCAAGACCUUGCGCUGAUUGAGCGGCCGAUAUCAGAUUAGCUAGUUGGUGAGGUAAAGGCUCACCAAGGCGACGAUCUGUAGCGGGUCUGAGAGGAUGAUCCGCCACACUGGAACUGAGACACGGUCCAGACUCCUACGGGAGGCAGCAGUGGGGAAUUUUGGACAAUGGGCGCAAGCCUGAUCCAGCCAUGCCGCGUGAGUGAAGAAGGCCUCGGUUG
RNAcentral lists this ribosomal RNA (391 nucleotides) under uncultured bacterium. RNAcentral's name for it is "bacterial SSU rRNA". It matches the Rfam family "Bacterial small subunit ribosomal RNA", at positions 30 to 425 of the family's 1533-position model. The record is from RNAcentral.